This 406-nucleotide ribosomal RNA is filed under the name uncultured bacterium. RNAcentral's name for it is "partial 16S ribosomal RNA". It matches the Rfam family "Bacterial small subunit ribosomal RNA", at positions 30 to 526 of the family's 1533-position model. The record is from RNAcentral.
AUUGAACGCUGUCGGCAGGCCUAACACAUGCAAGUCGAACGAGUGGCGGACGGGUGAGUAAUGUCUGGGAAACUGCCUGAUGGCGGGGGAUAACUACUGGAAACGGUAGCUAAUACCGCCUACCAUCGGAUGUGCCCAGAUGGGAUUAGCUUGUGGGUGGGGUAACGGGUCACCAAGGCGACGCUCCCUAGCUGGUAUGAGAGGAUGACCGGCCACACCGGAACUGAGACACGGUCCAUACUCCUACGGGAGGCAGAAGUGGGGAAUAUUGCACAAUGGGCGAAAGCCUGAUGCAGCCAUGCCGCGUGUAUGAAGAAGGCCUUCGGGUUGUAAAGUACUUUCAGCGGGGAGGCGUUACCCGCAGAAGAAGCACCGGCUAACUCCGUGCCAGCCGCCGCGGUAAUAC